This 440-nucleotide ribosomal RNA is filed under the name uncultured bacterium. RNAcentral's name for it is "partial 16S ribosomal RNA". It matches the Rfam family "Bacterial small subunit ribosomal RNA", at positions 338 to 795 of the family's 1533-position model. The record is from RNAcentral.
CCUACGGGGGGCAGCAGUAAGGGAUAUUGGUCAAUGGGGGAAACCCUGAACCAGCAACGCCGCGUGAGGGAAGACGGUUUUCGGAUUGUAAACCUCUGUUCUCUGUGAAGAUAAUGACGGUACCUCGUAAGAAAGCCACGGCAAACUACGUGCCAGCAGCCGCGGUAAUACGGAGGGGGCGAGCGUUGUCCGGAAUGACUGGGCGUAAAGGGAGUGUAGGCGGCAUAUUAAGUUAUGUGUGAAAGCCCGCGGCUCAACCGCGGAAUUGCACAUAAAACUGGUAAGCUGGAGUGCAGGAGAGGUAAGUGGAAUUCCCGGUGUAGCGGUGGAAUGCGUAGAUAUCGGGAGGAACACCAGAGGCGAAGGCGACUUACUGGACUGUAACUGACGCUGAGGCUCGAAAGCGUGGGGAGCAAACAGGAUUAGAUACCCCUGUAGUC